AUGUGAUCGUCUCUCGCAUAUCAAUAAGCGGAGGAAAAGAAACUAACAAGGAUUCCCCUAGUAACGGCGAGUGAAGCGGGAAGAGCUCAAAUUUGAAAUCUUAAAGGGUUUCCCUUUACGAAUUGUAGUUUAAAGAAGUGUUUUCUGUUGAGGUUUUGGUAAAAGUUCUUUGGAAUAGGACAUCAUAGAGGGUGAGAAUCCCGUAUUUGACCUUUACUUUCAACUUUGUGAUACACUUUCAAAGAGUCGGAUUGUUUGGGAAUGCAGUCCAAAAUGGGUGGUAAAUUUCAUCUAAAGCUAAAUAUUGGCGAGAGACCGAUAGCGAACAAGUACCGUGAGGGAAAGAUGAAAAGAACUUUGAAAAGAGAGUUAAACAGUACGUGAAAUUGUCAAAAGGGAAGCGUUUGACACCAGUGUUGUUUUUCUGAAAAUCAAUUAAAGAACUGUUUAUGCUAAGCUGUUUAGACUUUAUCAGCUAUCUGUUUAGUUUUGAGCUUUUCUUUAAUGCACUUUUCAGUUAACAAGUCAACAUCAAUUUCUUUUGCUGUAAAAAAGCUUGAGGAAGGUGGCUUGAGAUUCGUCUUAAGUGUUUAUAGCCUCUUGCCUAUGCAGUCGGAGAGAUUGAGGUCUGCAGCGUAGAUCCUUCGGGGCUAAAUGCAUUUGUGCUAAGUUAUAGCAUUUUAUAGACAACUUGUUGACUAUGAUUUGUCUUGUAGCUUACUCGCUUAUGUUAUUUUACCUACGCUUAGGAUGUUGAGUAGCGACAUACGCAC
This 773-nucleotide ribosomal RNA is filed under the name uncultured Neocallimastigales. Its description in RNAcentral is "partial large subunit ribosomal RNA". It matches the Rfam family "Eukaryotic large subunit ribosomal RNA", at positions 24 to 649 of the family's 3401-position model. The record is from RNAcentral. Lineage: Eukaryota; Fungi; Neocallimastigomycota; Neocallimastigomycetes; Neocallimastigales.